This 486-nucleotide ribosomal RNA is filed under the name uncultured bacterium. Its description in RNAcentral is "partial 16S ribosomal RNA". It matches the Rfam family "Bacterial small subunit ribosomal RNA", at positions 30 to 507 of the family's 1533-position model. The record is from RNAcentral.
AUUGAACGCUGGCGGCAUGCCUUACACAUGUAAGUCGAACGGCAGCACGGGUGCUUGCACCUGGUGGCGAGUGGCGAACGGGUGAGUAAUACAUCGGAACAUGUCCUGUAGUGGGGGAUAGCCCGGCGAAAGCCGGAUUAAUACCGCAUACGAUCUACGGAUGAAAGCGGGGGACCUUCGGGCCUCGCGCUAUAGGGUUGGCCGAUGGCUGAUUAGCUAGUUGGUGGGGUAAAGGCCUACCAAGGCGACGAUCAGUAGCUGGUCUGAGAGGACGACCAGCCACACUGGGACUGAGACACGGCCCAGACUCCUACGGGAGACAGCAGUGGGGAAUUUUGGACAAUGGGCGAAAGCCUGAUCCAGCAAUGCCGCGUGUGUGAAGAAGGCCUUCGGGUUGUAAAGCACUUUUGUCCGGAAAGAAAUCCUUGGCCCUAAUACGGUCGGGGGAUGACGGUACCGGAAGAAUAAGCACCGGCUAACUACGUG